GCGGGUGUGGUGGAAUUGGUAGACGCGCUGGAUUCAAAAUCCAGUGUCCUUAGGACGUGCCGGUUCAAGUCCGGCCACCCGCACCA
RNAcentral lists this transfer RNA (86 nucleotides) under Alphaproteobacteria bacterium. Its description in RNAcentral is "tRNA-Leu". It matches the Rfam family "tRNA". Rfam says of the family: Transfer RNA (tRNA) molecules are approximately 80 nucleotides in length. Their secondary structure includes four short double-helical elements and three loops (D, anti-codon, and T loops). The record is from RNAcentral. Lineage: Bacteria; Pseudomonadati; Pseudomonadota; Alphaproteobacteria.